UCAUUGUUAUACCAGAGUUUCCUUUGGGCUAUGGACUGAAAUGAAAUGACCCAGAGAUAAACUGAGCUGGACUGUGGUAUGGGGACACAGACCCUGACAUCUCAUGUACCUGCCAAGAUUGUAGCCACCAAGACUGACUGAAGAGGAGCAGACCAGUGGAGCUAGCUAGAGUGACGGUGGGAAUCCACAGUCCCUGAUUCCUGGGAACUUGCAGGAAGGAUUUCAGGAAAUAUCUUUUCACAGGAAAAAGAUCUGGGAUCUGAUACGGGGCCCAAGACAAAGUUACCACAGGUUGACUCUUACCAGGGAGACUUGAUCUGCAUAACAAGACAAUCCUAGCUUAGCAGGCACCUUCCCCUUCAACCUUCCACAGCCUGAAGCCCAAACCUCCAUCCUGCUAUUCUGAUUUCUAUAAAAGCCUCAAUGGUCCAGCCCUCCUCUGAGU
This 445-nucleotide long non-coding RNA is filed under the name Ictidomys tridecemlineatus (thirteen-lined ground squirrel). RNAcentral describes it as "lncRNA (ENSSTOG00000034154.1)". Lineage: Eukaryota; Metazoa; Chordata; Mammalia; Rodentia; Sciuridae. The record is from RNAcentral.